UUGUCUGUCACCCCCACUAAGAUGUAAACAGGGUAAGGAGGGACAUUGUCUUUUUUUACUCUGUAUCUCCAGUGUCUAGAAUAGAGUCUGGCACAUAGGUGCUUAUUGAAUAUUUGUUGAAUGAAUGAAUGCAUGCAUGACUUCUUACUGUGAGUGCAAGGAGGUGGGGAGGGGUGGGGAGGCUCAGGCUUGGCUCACUCUACACAGAUCAGUGCUUCCAUGACUUGGAUACUGAACCAUGAGAAACAAAGAGAUUUGUUGGUUUAAUUUCUUUUGCCCUGGGAAAAUUAAAGAUCACAGAUAAUCCAAAACUCAGUGCCAAGUUCUCUAUUUAUAAUCGAGGAAUUAUUCACACAGAGGUAAACAAGAGCAAAGGACUGACAAGUGAACUGGAGGAGGAGAAUGAUGGGAAACAGACUGAGGGACCCAUACAUCUGCAUGCCUUCAACAGGCCUGGGUUCUCACCAGCACUCACUCAACCUUGGAUCCAGAGAACCCUUGAUGUUUUCCAGUCCCAGAAUCCUCUGGGACAGGCUGCCCAGAUGGCUGUUGGGAGUGAGCUGGUGAUCUUAAGCAGAGGCAGCCUAGGUGAAAAAACAGAGUCAUUGAGAGAAAGCAACUCACUGAAGGUCACGUGGGAAACAGCACAGAUAGGAAGAACCAGGCCUCCGAGUCACAGAAAGAUCUUCCAUUCAUCGGAUGAUGGUUGCCAGGGAGGAGAGUGGAUGUUAGGAGACCCUGAAUAGCACCGAGAGGCCAACACACUUCAAAUUAAGCUUCCGAUGCUUAUGAGGGGCCGGGCGUCCCACAAAUCCCUCUGUGCAUGGAGCUUUGAGGCAGCCUGUUCAGUCUGUUUGUUCUUUCAGAAGUGCGCCUGGGAAGCCAGGAGUUAUUGUUUCCCCAAAAGGAUUUCUACAGGGUGCAAGAAGACAAAGAACACAAGUGACAAGACACCUAGAAAAAGAUGUUCAAGACCUACAUGAAGCCCACCCAGGGUUCUCUUUGAAACUAUUGUUUGUUGAAGUUAUGGGGAAUAAAGUUUACACUC
Acinonyx jubatus (cheetah) is the source of this 1048-nucleotide long non-coding RNA. RefSeq lists it as uncharacterized. The transcript is spliced from 4 exons. The record is from RefSeq and is a predicted model, not a curated record. Lineage: Eukaryota; Metazoa; Chordata; Mammalia; Carnivora; Felidae.